RNAcentral lists this ribosomal RNA (316 nucleotides) under uncultured Chloroflexota bacterium. Its description in RNAcentral is "bacterial SSU rRNA". It matches the Rfam family "Bacterial small subunit ribosomal RNA", at positions 28 to 351 of the family's 1533-position model. The record is from RNAcentral. Lineage: Bacteria; Bacillati; Chloroflexota.
GAUAAACGCUAGCGGCGUGCCUUAUGCAUGCAAGUCGAACGGUUUAUCGAAAGAUAAAUAGUGGCAAACGGCUGAGUAACACAUAAGUAACCUAUCCCAAAGUGGGGAAUAAUCCACCGAAAGGCGGACUAAUACCGCAUGUGGUAGUGGAGGCAGGUUUUCACUACUAAAGCCUUCGGGCGCUUAGGGAGGGGCUUGUGUCCUAUCAGGUAGUUGGUGGGGUAACGGCUUACCAAGCCUAUGACGGGUAGCUGGUUUGAGAGGACGUCCAGCCAGACGGGGACUGAGACACGGCCCCGACACCUACGGGUGGCAG